This 1263-nucleotide ribosomal RNA is filed under the name Staphylococcus aureus. Its description in RNAcentral is "bacterial SSU rRNA". It matches the Rfam family "Bacterial small subunit ribosomal RNA", at positions 79 to 1344 of the family's 1533-position model. The record is from RNAcentral. Lineage: Bacteria; Bacillati; Bacillota; Bacilli; Caryophanales; Staphylococcaceae.
CUUGCUUCUCUGAUGUUAGCGGCGGACGGGUGAGUAACACGUGGAUAACCUACCUAUAAGACUGGGAUAACUUCGGGAAACCGGAGCUAAUACCGGAUAAUAUUUUGAACCGCAUGGUUCAAAAGUGAAAGACGGUCUUGCUGUCACUUAUAGAUGGAUCCGCGCUGCAUUAGCUAGUUGGUAAGGUAACGGCUUACCAAGGCAACGAUGCAUAGCCGACCUGAGAGGGUGAUCGGCCACACUGGAACUGAGACACGGUCCAGACUCCUACGGGAGGCAGCAGUAGGGAAUCUUCCGCAAUGGGCGAAAGCCUGACGGAGCAACGCCGCGUGAGUGAUGAAGGUCUUCGGAUCGUAAAACUCUGUUAUUAGGGAAGAACAUAUGUGUAAGUAACUGUGCACAUCUUGACGGUACCUAAUCAGAAAGCCACGGCUAACUACGUGCCAGCAGCCGCGGUAAUACGUAGGUGGCAAGCGUUAUCCGGAAUUAUUGGGCGUAAAGCGCGCGUAGGCGGUUUUUUAAGUCUGAUGUGAAAGCCCACGGCUCAACCGUGGAGGGUCAUUGGAAACUGGAAAACUUGAGUGCAGAAGAGGAAAGUGGAAUUCCAUGUGUAGCGGUGAAAUGCGCAGAGAUAUGGAGGAACACCAGUGGCGAAGGCGACUUUCUGGUCUGUAACUGACGCUGAUGUGCGAAAGCGUGGGGAUCAAACAGGAUUAGAUACCCUGGUAGUCCACGCCGUAAACGAUGAGUGCUAAGUGUUAGGGGGUUUCCGCCCCUUAGUGCUGCAGCUAACGCAUUAAGCACUCCGCCUGGGGAGUACGACCGCAAGGUUGAAACUCAAAGGAAUUGACGGGGACCCGCACAAGCGGUGGAGCAUGUGGUUUAAUUCGAAGCAACGCGAAGAACCUUACCAAAUCUUGACAUCCUUUGACAACUCUAGAGAUAGAGCCUUCCCCUUCGGGGGACAAAGUGACAGGUGGUGCAUGGUUGUCGUCAGCUCGUGUCGUGAGAUGUUGGGUUAAGUCCCGCAACGAGCGCAACCCUUAAGCUUAGUUGCCAUCAUUAAGUUGGGCACUCUAAGUUGACUGCCGGUGACAACCGGAGGAAGGUGGGGAUGACGUCAAUCAUCUGCCCCUUAUGAUUUGGGCUACCACGUGCUACAUGGACAAUCAAAGGCAGCGAAACCGCGAGGUCAGCAAUCCCUAAAGUUGUUUCAGUUCGGAUGGAUCUGCACUCACUACUGAAGCUGGAUCCCUGUAUCGA